CACCUGAAAUCUACUCUCCUAGCAGUACAGUACUAACUAUAGUCAUCAUGCUGUACUUUAGAUCUCCAGAUUUAUUCAUUCUACAUAACUGCAACCUUGGGGCGGGGAGUUGGGAAAAAUCGGAAGAUGAACUGGCUAAUCCUAACGUUGCAUAUGGUUUGCAUCUUGGCCCUAGCAUACUACAGAACAAAGAAUUAGAACGCCUACAUUCUAAAAUGUUAAAAAUAUGAGAUACUGGAAAAAGGAGGGUUGAUUAUUUUAGUUAUUCUUAAUCCUCAUGCAACAUUAAUAAAGUUGUACCUAUAUGACAUUAAAUUUUCAUAAGAAAAUUAAAAGUCUGAUAAUUGCUCCGAUUUCAAUAGUUUCUGAUGCAUAGACUCCCCAAAUCACAUUUUUGAUUCCAGUUUUUCUUUUAGUCUAGUUCUUUAAUUUCAGAAAGACAGAACUUAAGAGAAAAUUCGCAUUUUCUUAAGCCCUUCAAACAUAAUCUACCUCAUUUUUUUCCUGAAGUGAUGGGGAAAUUAUUGUUUAUUUUUAUUUUCAGUUUAAUGUUCAGACCAAAGAUUCCUGGUUUCCAGGCAAUGAGAGCUCUUUAACAGGAUUCAACGUAUCCAAAGUUCCUGUAGGUUUAUCCGGACAAAUGAUCAGGCUUACAAGGCGUAGAGUGGCCAAUUUCAGAGCCUUCUGGAGAAAAUGCACAACUGAUACCAAAUUUUUAGUAUCACCAUCACUUGUCUUGAGUAUGCGACUUUCUGUAUCACCCAGGUGCUCCACCAGUUUUAUCUUCUUGAUUAUGAUGGAGACACUUGUUCUGAAAUGCUUGGGAGAUGAGGCUAGCUGGGAAGAAGUCUGUAAAAAUUAGGUCACACUUUUUCCUUUUCUCCUCCUCUUCUUCCCCAUAUCCAGAUGGUUGGCAAGAGAGCUGAGCUGCAAGCAGUGUAUGCAAAUAAGACAUUUUGUUGUCUAUUUCUGAAAGGACAGUUAAUUUGUAAAAUGCCUGUUAGUUUCUUCUGUGGAAUCACGUAACCAGUAAAUGAAAGUGUACCAUGUGACAGAAACUUAACUCAUGACAUUCCUGGAGGAAAAUCUUUCUUUUAGGAAUUCAUCUGCCUAUAAAUUCGGCAAGCGUCUAGAGUUAAUUGCCCCCAUAUUCUCUUAUAAAAAAACUUGCUCAGUUCUCAGAUAACCUGAAUUUUCUCUCAUUUAAGUGUUGUCACCAAAAUCAUACAACUGUCAAUCUUUUGCAAAUGUAGGAAAGGGGAGAACCUAUUCUACUCUGAUGCAGAAGAGAGAGGGCACAGGUUCCUCGGGUAGAUGUGCCUAGGACCAAGAGAAAGGAGCGACGAAGGGACAAGGAGAAAAAUGGUCUAGGGAAAAGUGAAAGGGACAGAGGAGACUGGGAUAUAAGGACUGGAGAAGGGAGGAAAGGAUGUGAGAGCAAGUCAGAGAGAUGGACAAGAGGAGGGAAAAUAAGGAAAAGGAUAGAAAGAAUAAAGGACUGAGAAGGAGGAGGGGAACGCAAAGUCUUUUCUAAUACUCACCAGAGGAGUAAAGAACGAGAGAGAACUAGAUACAUUUAUAAAAUCCUAAAGCCAACAACUCAAGGUGUUUCCUUGAGACUCUUGUCUAAUGACUGCAUUGAUUAACUGGGUGAUGCUAAGAGGUACCCAUGACAAACAACUGCCAACACAGGGAGCAGUAAUCCUCAGCCCAGAUCUAAGCUAGGCAACGGUGCACAAGAACCUGAUACCAGCAACAGAACGCCUUUGCUCUGAAUCUAUUUCCCAACUUAGAUACAGCAUCUGAGUCUUUUACAUUUUGCUUAUCUUUCAUCACUCUUCAAUGCUAUGCACUGAAACCUUCCACUGACUGCGAAAAGCUCUGCUCUGAGCAUAAACACAAUUACCUUGGCCUCAUUUCCUUAUCUUUAAUCAAAGUCCUUUCUUGCAACAUUCAUUUGGCCCUGGAUGCUCCAUUCUAGCUACUCAGAGCAAAAUAUCCUAAAGAAGAAAGAGUACUGUAUGCAAAACUUUGAUAGAGGAUAAGAAGAAGAGAAUGUAACUUUCCUCCAAACCAAAGCUAGGGCUUUAAAGGGAGUUUUCCUUUAGGAGAGUUUACAUCCUAGUUAAAUCCUCCUUCCAGGGUCAGCCUCCAAUAUAUUCCACAUGUCCCAUCUAACCACAGCUCAUAUAGAAUCAAAGAAUUUCCAGAUGAGAAGGGGAUUCCCAGAUCAAGUCAAGACUCUUGUCUGAUGCUUGAGCUUAUUCUACAAUCUGAAAAGAUCUUCAGUGCCUGCCAGAACUCUUUUUGUGCUGGGGUUCUCCAUAAAACACAUGGAGGUCACUCCCUUUGCACACAGCUCGAAUUCCUAUUUUGAACCGAAGCCUGGUCCAAGCCACUUCCAAACCCCAGGGCUAGUUCUCUGUAUCUGAGGCAGCAUAGGACAGGUACAAUCAGAAGGCACCUGCAAUUCCACCUUAAAAGGUUUUCCUUUCAGACAGAUUGAGAGAGAGAGAAAAUUGAACACAGAACAUUUGAUUCUUCUCAUCACCACUUUGCUCCUCUUCUUCUGUGCUUCGCUUUGUCAAUAUCUUUCCCAUUAGUUACUCUAACCAUCAGCACUGAGGAAUCUGUCUGUAACAUCCCAGACAUCAUCAUCUCAGUGAAGGCUGUUGCAGGACAAUCACCUCACUUCUGGAUGUACUACCUUAUGUAUCUGUAAUUAGGCUGAAUUUGUCUUUUAGCAUCUUCCUGUGUUAUUUACUCAUACCGAGCACAUUAUCCAUUAACUUCCUGUACUGAUUUCACAUGUAGUGAUUUUACAACAAAACCAGCUCAGCCUAAGUCUGUGCAGGUUUUUAUAAAUGUGUACCUGAGAGGAAAGCUUUACCUUUAGGCCUACUGAAUUUCAACCUUUUGGAUUGGGAAUACUGGCAAGGUGGCUCUGAGUUCUUACUUCUUAUUCUGUCAUCCAAAGAAUUGCAAUCUCAGCAUAGAUGUCACUGAUUUGCAUGUGAAUAUUAGUCUCUUUGACAGAGAAACUCAAGUGGGAGGUAAGUUGUGUGUUCUUGCUAACAGCAACAACAUCUCUGACGGCAGCUACUAUGUUCUGAAGGUUUGUGUCGUCUCAAAACUCAUAUGUUGAAAUCCUAAACCCCAAGUUGAUGGUAUGAGGAUGUGGGGCCUUUGGAAGAUGAUUAGGUCAUAAAGGCAGAGUCCUCAUCAUUGGGCCUAGUGCCCUUAUAAAAGAGGCCCAGAGAGCUCCCUAGCCCCUUCUACCAUGUGAGGACAUAGCAAGAAGGUGCCAGCAAUGAACAGGAAGAGGGCUCUCGCCAGAACACGAAUGUGCCAGUGCCUUGAUCUUGGACUUCCCAGCCUUCAAAACUGAAGAAGCAAAACCCAAAUCCAGAAGCAAUCAGAAGUGAUGGAUUACUGAUCACUAUAAACAAACACCAAUGGAGCCAGUGUGCAGUGAUGAGGCACUAAUUUCUGUGCAGAGCAAGAAGCUAUGAGCAUAGGGGCACUCAGGUGAGCAAACUGAAACAGAGGGAGAUUAAGUUUCACAGAUGCUGCUCCCAGCAAUGCCACUUGGAGAGGCCACGGCGCACUCAACAGACCUUGGUGAUCGCGAGAUGAAGAAGGAGGUGGCUGUGAUGACAUUUAUUGGCCUCUCCAAGAACUUUUAAACGUUCUGCUUGCAAAUCCCUAUAGUAUAACAUGACAGGACUUAUCUCCCACUGUCAGGGUCUGCUCCUGGAACACGAAACAUGCCUUUUCCACAGAUACUAGGAAGGCUUAAGAAACUCGAGGAAAAACAAAAGGGUGGGUGGCGUUAGACCAAACACACAUAGCUAGAUCCAUGCCUGGGGGCCUUGGCACACAACGAACAGAUCCAUCUUCAUUCAGCUCGUGAAGGGGCCCAGGAAACUGAGCUAGACCUGAGCUUGGACACGGUGGAAUUUCUUAUAGUGCUGGGACUUAGCAACAAUCCCAGCAAUGCUGACACUUAGCCUGGAAUGACCACCCAUGCAAAGUUCUCGCAGCUUCCAAUCUGCUCUUCUGCACUCUGCCUGUGAUGCUGCUGCUGGGCCUCAAGAAGCCACGUUUCUGCUUUAUCAGCUCAUUGCAGCAGACCCUGCCCAUGGGGAAAUCCAGAGGGACACUGGAAGGCUGGAGGGGAAGGAGCUGUUCCUUUCUGCUUCCGUCCUGUUCCAGUUGAUGGGGCUUCACCCUGGCAGGAGCAUUUGGCUCCACUUUGCAGGUUUUCCCUCCCAUUCACCCAGCUUCACUGCACCCCUUUGAGAUACCAACACCAACCAGCUGGCCGCACUCCCCACAGGUCUGGGUCCCAGAUGACAGGGGCCUCCUCCGACCUCAUGAGCCCUCAUUAGCAGCCCUGCUCUGCGAGCCCAGUUCCGUGGCCUCCUCCGCCAAGCUUCUGAAUUCCCAUCCUAGUCUCUUCUCCUAUUUCUCUCAGCCCGGAGGUGGUAGCUAAUUUCUUUUAUUAUGACUCCAGGGUCCGUUUUUUUCCCCAACUCUCUGAUGAAACAAUUAUUUUAUAUUAAAUUAUCUCUGUUGAAAUAAUUACGUGAUUUCUAUUUUCUUGACUGGGCCCUAAGUGAUACAAUUUGUUACUUGUAAGGGAGUUACACAGGCUUUUCCAAUAUUGUUCAUGUUAUGUUUACAUUUUGGAAGAUGUAUUCAUGUGCUAAAAAUCUAUGGAUAAUUUGCAUUUUUAAAAAGAAUGUGACAGAUCAAUAUUACUGUCCUGAAAGAUGUUCAUGCUAUAUUGAGUGAUAAAAGCAAAGGCUUUUAUAAGUGGCAAGCAUGUGUCUUAUAAUUUGAGAAAAAUAAAGGAAAUGGUUAAGAAGUAUAAAAUAAGACGAUAGUGUGAUCUCUGAGAGAAAACUUUAUUAUCCCUGUUAGCAUAACUCUUAAAAUAUCUUUAACAUAUGUAACCAGGACAGUCUGACUUUUUCUGCCCAUAUUUAGCUGGGAUUGCAAUAACUAUAAAACAAGAUGCAUUUUUUUUGAUGCUUCUGCCACAAUUUGAAACCCAAAACAUUUAUAUAAUAUGCGUAAUUCAAAGGCAUAUAUGCUACUGCAUCUAAAAUUUAACUUUUUAGCUAAAUAUAGCUAAAACCAACUCACAUGAAAGUCCACAGCUGGGAAGAAGAAUUAGCAAAAACUUUAAUUAUGGCCUCAUUUACACUUCUAUUUUCAAGCCCAUUCAUGAAUUAAUUUUAACUCUGCGCCUCUGCCUUCCAUCAUGCUGUAAGUACCUGUCAGAAAAUGACAGUGUUUGAGUAUCCGCACAUAUGUUUGAGAUUUCUACACCUUGAUUCCUUUGUCAAAAUUUCCACUUACAGCUGUGUGAGUGAGGCUCUAUGGCAGAGGCAAAACGGUUGGUCUCUGAAUGUGGCCAAAAUUCCAUACCCGGAGAAUGUUCAUUUAAUGUAUAAGCCAAAAUAAAACUCCUGAUUAAGACAGCUGACCUUCAACACAUGAUAAGGCAGGAAGGGAGCAUGACAGAAGGAAGCAAGUGCUGAACAAGAACUUCAGCGAACCUGAGCUCACGGUCACAUUCCCUAGUGUAACCUUGGGCUAAUCUUAUUCUGUAAAAUGGGCACUGGACUAGUGGGACUUUGUUGUCCCUAUGCAGCUUUCCAUUAUAAAAAGAUCUCUCACCUGCAACAUCUUAAAGUAACUCAGGUGAAGGCAGCGAUUGCCACAAUUUUAGAUGGCAUAGCCAUAUCAGCAAAAAAAGUUCAAUAUGCAAUGCCCAUAUAUAAAUAUUUAUUCAUAAAUUAGAUAUGGAUGCUGUUGUAUUAAUUAUUACUAGUACUGGGUAUCUUCGAAGACAGUGAAUAUCAGCCAGCAUCCUCUCUCCUUCACUUGCAGCCACACCAACCUCCUUGCUGACCCUUGACCUUGCCAAGCAUGUUCCCAGCUCACGGUCUCUGCACCUGAUGCCUCUCCUUCAGCUAGCCACUCUGUUCACACCCUCACUACUUCAGGUCUUUGCUCAAAAGCCACUUUCUCAGAAGGCCUUCCCUGACUGCCCUAUGGAAGAUUACAAUCUUUCCCAGUGCUGCCGCUUGUAGAGUACUGGGACUGGGUGUUCUCCAUUUACCCUGGGGAUACCUCCUCCCCCAUCUCUACCCUUUUCUAUACCCUAGGAGGCUGUCCUGCAUGGAUUACAUGCACUGGGCUCCUUUGUGCUCUGGCUUUCAGUUGAGUUUGGCCAAUGGGAGGCACAAGCAGGGGACGGGAUGGUGAGAGGAGAGAGAAGCCUGGGCGUUUAUUCCCUCCGCAACUAUCAGUGUAGGCCCAGAGGCUGGAAAUAACUGCUGUCGUCUCCCAGGGCCACCUCUCCUGUUGGGUGCCCUCCUACAUCCACAGCUGCUGCUCUCUCUUGAUUUGGGUCACUGCUCCCUCCCCUGGAGGAGAGAGCUCCCCACUAUUGGUAGCCCCUAGGGUGUUUCACCAUUCCUUGUUGGUUUCUCUUAAACUCUACCUGGCCCUCUAUAAAUACUGUGCCAACUGUUUCUUUCCAGGACCCUGACUAACAACGUUUAUAUUGUGAUAUAUGUUGAUAAUCUGAUAUUUAUCUUAUAUAUAAUGUUAUAUAUAUUGAUAAUCUGUUUCCUCUCAUUGGAAUGUAAAAUUCCUGAGGGUACAGACUUUUCCAUCUGUUUCUAUUGUUGUUGUUUUUCACUGCUAUAUCCUCAGUUCCAAGCACAUAGUAGGCACUCAAGUAGUUGCCAAUUAAAGAGAUGAAUCUUUUCCUCCUGGAUCCCUAUAGAUUGUCUUGCAUAUUCCAUUUUGGAAAUCAUCAGCUUAAGGAAUAAAUAUAUCUAUCAUUUGCCUGAUUUUACUAACUCUUGGACUAAUUUAGCCUACUCCUCAUCUAAUAUGGAGCUCUGAUUAUUUUUAAAUCAUAAGAAAUGUAAUUUAGUAUCACAUCCUCUUGGAAGAUCAUACUUGCCUCCCACAAGAUUCCUCUAACAAUGGCCCGAACAGAUAUUGAGCCAAUCAUGAGAAAGACUUUAUUAGUUCACCUUUUGGUGCUGUCUUUAACAGUUUUGUCCUUCUCCCUUCUGAUUUCUGCUUUAAGAUCUUGUCUUCCUUUCUUCUAAUAAGGAAGAUAAAAAACCACCCAAGGAAAUAUAGACUUGGCUGGCCCUCUUCAUCCCUAUUCAUGACAGGAGAAAAUCACUCAAUGUCUUGUCCCCCAGCUCAAUUAUUUAAUUCAUAUACAACGCUCCAUUAUUUAAUAACUUAUAAUUUCUAGGGCUCAGUUGCCCAGAACAGACUUAACAGUUGUCUCUAGUAAAAACAUCCCUUAGAGCAGAAUAGCUAAUUAAACAGAAAGUGAAUUUUUUUUUAAUCAGAAACACAUACAAAUCCUUUUUGUCCUUCAACGUGAACAUUUAGUUGAUUGCUUCUCACUGAAUUACCUUAUGCCUAUUAAACAUGACCAGCACUUUACUUUUGGAUAAACCAGAUCAUUUUUCACAUGCCUGAGUGAAUUCUCCCCGCAUUAAUCGAUAAACACAGCUGGGUUCUAAGCAUAGCUACUGUACUGAACAGAACCUGAUCUUCAAGACAAGCCCACAGAACCUGCUGAGCUUGCUUUGGGAGGGAGAACAUUAGUGGCAAGAAACUGCUGAAUCCUGCAUCCAGGAGGAAAGAUUCUGUAAACACAGUAACUUCCACGUGCAAGUGGCUCCAUUUUUAAAUGCCGUGCUCCUCUCUGGCUAUAUAAAGAGGCAUGAGUAAGAGUUUUCUCACGUGGUUUUAAGUUUCUUGAGCUGCAAGUCAAAACAUUGUGAUGUUCAAACAGUCUUUGGGGAGAAGAGGAAAUUAACUGCCAAAGUUAUUAAAAUGGAACUCUGCUUUCUAUUACAACUAAAAUGGAUUAGCUUGCACAAAGAGUUAUGUACAAAGUAAGAUAUAAUUUUCUUUACUUGAACUGGAACAACAUUUAUAUUUUCCCACUGUUGGCAGUGCUUUGACUCUCCAACAUUAUGUUAGUUUUCUAGGUCAGCUCUAACAAGUACCACAAACUGGGGGGCUUGAACAACAGAAUUUAUUGUCUCACAGUUCUGGAGGCUGGAAGCCCAAGAUCAAGGUGUCAGCAGGGGUGGUUCCUUCAAAGGACUACGGAGGAGAAUCUGUUCCUUGUCUCCCUCUUAGCUUCUGGUGGUUUUCUGAUGUCUUUAGUGUUCGUUGGUUUCUCUGCAUCAUCUCUAGCUCUGCCUUCAUCUUCACAGAACGUUCUCCUGGUGUGCAUGUCCAUGUCCAAAUUUCCCCUUUUAUAAGGACACCAGUCCUAUUAGCCUAGAGGCCCGCUCUACUCCAGUAUGACCUCAUGCUAAUUUAACUAAGUACACGUGCAAUGACUCCAUUUCCAAAUAACAUCACAAUCUGAGGUUAGGACUUCAACAUGAGAUUUUUUUUUUUAUGGGGGAAUCACAAUUCAACCCAUAACAAAUGGUAAAAAUUUUUAAAAAUUAGGUCUCAAGGAGAUGCUAAGAGACCAUUUUGUUCAACUCCUUUAUUUUUUAGUGAGAAAUAGAAAGAUAAAGUGACUUGUCCAGGGUUUCCUGGCAGAGUUAGUAACACAGACCCAGAACACAGGACUUCUGGCUCUGGUUCUGGUGCUUUCCAAGCACACGACACUGCCUUUAGUUGUAUUCUUCCUGAAGCUGAGACUCAUUGGCAUUUACAGAGGGGGGAGCAGCAAUAAUGACCUGUCUUAUCUGGAAAACCUGCCCAAAGGCUGAAGUGCAUGUCUACACCAGCCUGCUUCGUGAGGCUCAUCCCCAAUAGGUGAAUCAAGAAAGAGAAAGCUAGCUGUGAGUAUUGAAAAAUAAACCUAAUUGGAGCACUGCACACAGUACCUGGCAUGUGUGCUACACUCCAAGAAAGUCUGAAUCAAUAACUUAAACAAAUUUUAGUAGUGAAAAGAAUUUCUCACAUGCGUUUAGAGCUUCUUUCACAUAAAGUGUUAUCAAAUUCAUUAUCUCAUUUGUUCCCUGCUAACUCUUGAGAGAUAAGCAUUAUCGCUAUUUGACAGAAAGAGAAACUGAGGUUGGAAGAUAAGCGCUCUUUUUAACUCAAGUGUGACAGGCAGCCUGACUUGAUAAAGCUUUCACGUUCUUGCAAGUUUGGAUUCAAAUUCCAGUGUUCUCUUUACUGAAUUCUUGUCUUUGUGAGCAAAACUAAAUUAAAAUUUUUUGAAGUACAUAAACUUCUUAGCAUUUACCUUCAAUUUUUUUCAACUUUGUUCCCUCCAAGUGUAAAUUUGGAAGAACUUCUCACAGGUCAACACUUUUUCUCUAAUAGCUCCUCCAAGUGCUUGCAUGCACUGCUUAGCACUCAGCAGAUGGUCACAAUAUAUGAGUAAAUGAUGAAAGUCCCUCUUCAGACCUUAAGGUGUCACAGAGUCACACAAACUUAGGAUUUGAAAUGGCUUAGAGGGUUUCUAAAUAAUGUUCUCUGUCUUAGAGAUAAGGAAGCUAAGGUCUUAGGCCUUAGAGCAAGUUAAAAACCCGGUAUCCUGACUCUCAGCCCAGAGUUCCGAGGAUUGCAGGAGCUGGCACCAUUUCAAUAAGAGACUGAUCAGCUGGAAGAAAGUCCUGAUCAGACGGCUUUUAUCCCACUUUCUCUGAAGAAAGGUCAUUAAAGAUGCACGGGAGAGACUGCAAAAGAGUACAAUACUGUGCAACAGUGAUAUUCAAAAUGAUUAAAUUGGUGGCCCCAGUGCCCUUUGCAGGCACAAAGCAGCUCCUUUGUAAGGGAAUGAAAAGAGGUCACAUGUCGCGGGAAGAGGCUUCUUUCUAUAGAGACCCCAUUACCGCUCCGGAGGAAAGAACAUCAAUUCCUUCCAGGGAGUCUGUGUAAAAGAUAAUGUAUGCUUCUUUUCUGGCUGUCAAGAUUCACAAAAGAGAUAGGAAGUUUGAGGCUCUAUUACUGAUGACCUUCCCACAGAACAUGCCGCAUCUCGUUUUUAAAAAUAGCCUCUCUCCUGGGUGGAAUAUUUGAUGGUCUUCAUAAAGAAACUGAAAGCUUUGGCAGAAGUCUUGAAAAAGACAAAGAGUGGAAAAGAGAGAGGCAAAGAAGCAGGUCUCAUUGGUCCUGGAUCUUUCUGGACCUCAAAGGGGUCAUCUCUCUGACCUUAGGGUCUCAUCACCUCUAAGUGGUUUUCUUGAUGGCCUCAACACUUCUCGGCCAUUCUCCAUGCUGCUGAACAGGUGGGUUGUGUCAUCACCCAUGGAAACCUUGGUCAUCUCCACAGUAUAAAGUCCACCUUCCUAAGCACAGCAUGCCAGGUCCUCCUCAGAAACCCAGUUUUGGCUCCAUCUCAUUUCCUCCUCCACUGCUCCAGGUAACUCAUGUUUCAGCCACAUCUGGCCACUUGUUACUCCUCAGACAUGUCACUUGUUGCCACUGCCUGGGCAUGCCCUUUGUUCUUUCCUUCAUUAAUCAAAAUUCUCCCUGAGAAUCAAGGCUCAGCUUGGACGCUCCCUUCUCUGAGAAAUCUUUCGGACACAAUGAAUCACUCCCCGACCUGAGCUCUUUCUCUGGGGCUCGGUUCAGAGCCUCCUAUUUUAGGCUCUGAUUCUUUUGAUUAGACCUAAAGACAGAGCCGUUGUAAACCAAUUCCAGAUCUAAUACGUUUUUUAAAACUUUUUCUUUUGCACUAAUUUUACAAUUACAGAAAAGCUGCUGAGAUGUACAGCGAGCUCCCACCUAAUAACUUUUAGAAUCAUAAAGUAUUUUAGAGAAACUUAUAAAGGAUGAUAUUACAAACACCUACAUACUCACCUCCCAUCUUUACCAAAUCUCAACAUUUUGCCGUUUGGCUGCAGAUUUUUAUUAAACACAUAAAACAUUACUGCUGUUUUUAAAGUCCUCCAUGGACUUCUCCGGAUCCCAAUCUCUCUUCCUCCUCAAAAUUUAUCAUGCUCUUUAUUUGGCAUUUAUGACUAAUUUGCAUGUGUUUAUACAUUUACUACAUAUGCAUGUUUCCCAGAAAUUAAAUAUGAUUGUUUUGUAUAUUGUCAAACUUUAUACAUAUAGCACCAUUUGCUAUAUAUCACACAGUUCUGCUUAUUUUGCUUUUUCACUUAACACGUGUUUGUGAUUCUGUAGAUCUAGUUCAUUCACUUAAUCUUCCGUAUAGUAUUUUAUUACACGAAUACACAAUCAUUUAUUCAAUUCAAUUGCUAGACAUUUCAGUUUCUCAUUUGUUUUUUAAGGUGGACAAGGAGUAACAUACUCAAUGCACAUUGCAGCACUGGUUUUAACAGCAAAACCAGGAAGUGGGUCUGAACUGAUCCAUUAACUCCUGAGCUUUCCCAUUCUAGCGCACCAUUCAAGCUCUUAUGGAACAAAAACAUUAGAGACAUCAAAAUAAUAUUUUUGGCCGCGAUGAGAUGUUUCUUAUUCCUUUCAGUUCAGCAAAAAAUCCUUUUCUUCUUUAAAUAACUAAAAAAGCAGGGGGGAAUCCAUCAGCAUUUUCUAGGGAAAUACAUAUCUAACAGAGGCCCCUUUAGACUCUGCCAAGCUCUUUCAAACCUGAAGAAUGGAGGCAGGAGAUAUUGUUUGUACUUAUUGUACAGAAUGGUAGAAUUAAAUCCAAAGGGUGAGUGGAGUCUUGUCUCUCUAAAUUCUGGUUUCCUGUCUCAGCACUGGCCCAGAUUGCCUUAAUUGUCCCUUGAAAUAAUAAACUCUUAAAAAAACAAAGCCAGGCUACACAAGACAUGAUCGUUUUCCCCCAAACAGUUUUAAAAUAUGCCUGUAAAUAAUUCUACAGAAAAGAGACGAGUAGACCCAAUCAACUGUUUUGUGAGCUAAUUAAAGCAGAACUUGGAUUUUAUUUCUUAAUGAUUUUAUACAAAUUGGAAGGAAGGUGAGAAAUGCUAUUUCCUGUUCGGGCAGGAAAAUAGAUGCCUUGUAUCAACUCGGAGUUCCCCGGUCGCACUGGGACAUUUACACUGGGAACUUUUUCUUUCUGGUUAUUAUGAGAGUACCUAAUGCCAUAGAUAAGGUGGUAGGAUUGGGGAUAUUGGGUGAAUAAGAUAGUGUCUGCUCUGAGGAAGCUACCAGCCACUCCCUGAAUAUGUGAAAACUAUUUUUUUAAAGCUUCAGUGCGUGGUUGUGUAUCCUAGUUGUUAGCUUUUAGUUCUUCACGUGAGCUGCUGCCACAGUAUGACAACUGACAGAUGGGUGGUGUGGUUCCGCAACUACAAAAUAAACUGAGGCCAUGGUGGUGAAAGCACCAAAUCUUAACCACCAGACCACCAGGGCUGGCUCAUGCAAACACAAUUUUAAAAGAAGAGACAGACAGAGAAAGAGAGAGAGAGAGAGCAUGGUUCUCUGGGGGAAGGCAGGAGAUUGGGAAUGCUGAAAAACAGGAUAGGAAGAUGCGAGCAAAGAUGGAGUAGUACCAACUACCACUGCCCCCAAGGAACACCUGCAAAUAACACAUCUGCUUGGAUCCAAGUACCGGUUUCCAUUGUUUGGUCAUUUCCAACACUGCCCAAACCAUGACAUAUGAGAAAUAAUACAAAGUAGUCCAAGAGAAUAAAAGCAAACUGGAGUGCACUGCACACCAGCUAUGUUGAACUAUUUUCUCUUCUCCAAGAGGGCCAUGAAUUUUGGAGCCUCCAAGUCUUUGCUUAUACUCCUACUUUGGAUGACAUUCUCUGUGUCCUCCAUGUCUCUCUGUCCUCAUGUGUCUUUAAAGCUCAUAGAAAGCAUCACCUCUCUAGGAAAUCCUCCUCACUCCCCUCUGGAGGGGGAAUCAUCCCUGUGUGUGCUCCCAGAGAAGGCUACCUCUGCCUCUGUAAAGUACAGCACUCAGCACGGUCUGACAAAUAGCCUCGUAAACGGUGCCUGCCUCCAUAUCCUCCACUCCUAGAAGAUAGAGAUUCGUCUAAUUCAUCUUUUUGGUCCCCUUAGCACCUGGCAUAGUGCCAACAUGUAGUAAGUGUUCAAUGUGAAGUUUAGUAAAUGACUUGCAUAGCUGAAAAGGAAACGUAGCAUUGGGAAUUAGAGUAAUCAACAGAUCGAGUAGUGUAAUUGCCUUAAACUUCACGUGGAUAGGAUUCCUCUCAAAAUAGCUGUGAUUUUUUUUUUCUUUUUUAUAAUUGGCAUUAAUUCCCUUAGCUCUACCUAGAAGUCCUAGGUUCAGUUCCUGGGGCAAGAAACCAAGUGGUGUAUAUUUGUGUGGGUGUAUGACGGCAUUCCUCAUGGAGCUCUUUCACAGAUUGUGUUCAAAGUAGGCCAUUUCCUGCUGGAUUUCUCGCCUUUCCUAGAUCGCAUAUGGUGAAAUGUUUACUUUUAUUAAAGUAAAUAGUCCAAAAGUAUGCCCAGAAAAGAAAAUUUAAAAGGCAAGGAGAAAAACACUAGACAUAGAGUUUAAAAGGGUAUAUUAUUUCCCCGUCAACCUCAUGGUUUAUUAUAUUUCUUGAAACAAUUGUGAAUGGCUUCUCCUUCAGUAAUGUUUGGGUUUGUUCUUUUUUCUAUUUUCUCUAUAAAAUUUAUAGGAAAAGAGAAACAUACCUUAGCAAGGAAGGCUGAGAAGAAUUAUUUUAAAACUCAAACAUAUCAGGCCAAUAUAUUCAUAAUAUAAAAACAAAGCAAAGCAAACAAAUAGAUGGAGCAAAAAUAAAACAAAAUAAGAAAUAAAUGAAAGUACCAAUAGAAGGAAAAGUAACACGUAAUUUUGUUUAGUUCCAGUUCCGGCUAUGACACAGUAAUAAGCAUACACUACUCCACAUCUCCCAUUGAGCGCCACUAAAAACAUAAAGACAUCUAUCUGAGGACUCAGAAAAGUAAAUAAUAGCAGAUGUUUUGGGAAAGAAAUCAAAAUUGAAAGUACGACCAAUAUGGCAGUGAGUUAACCGAUAUUUUCUUUUUUUUCCUAAUUUCUCAGCUUGGAUUCCAGGGCAUCCCAAACCCCAGAACUGCACAUCACACAGGGAGGAACAGCUCCAAGAGAAACUUACUACCUGUUUUCCUGACCACAGGACAGGGAAGGAAGAGUAUGUGGGAUGGAGAUAGUAGAGAGAAAGCUCUUCCUAUGUUUGUUUUUUAUUGUUGUGCUUACCUGACUCAGUCCCAGACAAGCCCCAGUCACAAGGCUGCACACUAAUAGAUGCAGCAACUAUGCAUAUACCUAAAAGACUGAGAGAAAUUCUUUCUCUUUGAGCAGAGAAACUGGAAAACUGGGUCCCCGUGGUCCAAAGAGAAUGUGUGGAGAGAGGAAAUCGUCAUUAAUUUUCUUCCUCCCUUCUCUCUCGUUGCUUUGCCCUCAAGGUGAACCAAGUUAUAGGAAGUGUGAAAUGGCACAGGGAAUCUAAAAUCCUGACUUUUAAGUCAGAAGACCUAAGAAAGGGACUCCUGGGGACUGGAAAGAGGAGAGGAGUCAGGGAGAGGAAAGUGGGAGAGAAAAAGAGCCCCUAAAUGUAGUAUGAAGUCCUAGGCUCACCCCUGAGUUGCACAUGCAGUGAAUUACCUGAGGUAGCAUAGCAAAUGCUUCAAGAACUGAACUAAAGCAUAAAACAAAGACUGGGUUGACCUCAAGGUGAUGUCCAUGUGGAGCAGACAGAUUAGCACCACAAAUGCUUUUAAAAGUAAACUGACAUCGGAACCACAGCCUACAAAAGGCAGGUUGUGACUUGAGGCAAGAACCACACCAAGUUGAUUAUCUGCUAACACAAACAAAAAACAAAAGCAAACAAAAGGAAAACAUUCUCUGGAGGAUUUUAACAGGAGUAGAGUCACAAACAUAAUUCUCAAAAUCUCUAUGAUACAAUCCAAAAUCACCAGACAUAAAAAAGAACCAGGAAAAUCUCAAUAACUCUGCAGAGAAAAGACAAUCAACUGACAUCAACUCCUAAGAUGACCCAUAUGUGGAAAUUACUAGACAAAACUUGAAAAGUAGGAUUUUAACUAUGCUCCAUGAACAGAAAAAAGAAUCUUUUGAAAUGAACAGAAAUGAAAAAUACGAUAACUGAAAAAAUUUACUGUGUAAGCUCAAUAGCAGAGUGGAAAUGGCAGAAAAAAGAGUCAUUGCACUUGAAAAUAGAUCAAUAGAAAUGAUCCUUUCUGAACAAAACAAACAAAAAAAUUUAAAAAAAUAUAAGCAGAGCCUCGGGGACCUGUGGGACAGGUCUUGCAUUUGUGUCACUAGAAUCUGAGAAGGAGAGAAAAAAAGAGAUCAGCGCAGAAAAAAUAUAGCUGAAAACUUCUCAAAUUUGUGAAAGCCAUAAAUGUACAGAUUUAAGAGGCUGAGAGAACCCCAAAACAGAAAAAAAAAUCAUGCAGAGACCAUCAUAAUGCAACCACUGAAAUCCAAAGAUGAAGAAAAAAUUUCGAAAGCACCAAGUAAAAACGCAACAUUUUACAUAUAGGAGAACAAUUUAAAUGACAGCGUAUUUCAAUGGACAUCCUGGAAGUCAGAGGACAGUAUAAUAAUCUAUUUAAAGUGCCAAAAGCAAAGAACUCUUAAUUCAGAAUUCUAUAUCCACCUAAAACAUCCUUCAGGCAAAAUGGUGAAAUAAAGACAUUCUUGGUGAAAAAAAACAAGCUAAUAGAAUUCCUACAGCAGAUCUGCUCUAAAAGAAAUGAUAAAAAAAGUUCUUCGGGCAGAAGAGAAAUGAUACUAAAAGGAAACCUGGAACCUCGGGAAUAAAAGAAGAGGAGAAGAGAAAUGGUAACUACCUGGAUAAAUAAAAACAGCUGUUUUCUUCUUCCUCUUAAGUUUUUUGAAAUAUGUAGGACUGUUGAAGGUAAAAAUUAUAACACUGUCUGAUGGGGCUUUCAACUUUUUAUAGAAUUAAUACAUUAAAUAACUAUAGCAUAAAGGAGGGAGCAUAAAGGAACCUACAUGAUUAUAAUGUUUCUAUAUUUUUCUUUAAGUGCUAAAAUAUGAACUGCCUGUAGAUUGUGAAAAGAUAGGUAUGUAUAUUUUAAUCAUUUGAGCAACUAAUAGAAAACUAUAAAAAGAGACACAGUCAAAAAAUUGAUAAAUUAAAAUUGAACACUAAAUACUAUUCAAAUAAUCAAAAGGAGACAGAAAAGGGGAAAUAGAAGAAUGAAAAACAGAGCAAACAAAUAGAAAAACAAUAAAAUAAUAGACCAAAAUCUAUCUAUAUCAAUAAUUAUAUUAAAGUAAAUGUUCUAGGCAAACUAAAGGAGAUCAUCAGAUUUGAGAAAAAAUUAAGACUACUACAUGCUGUCUACAAGAAAGCCACUUUAAAUAUAAUGAU
Long non-coding RNA from Equus caballus (horse), 16286 nucleotides. RefSeq lists it as uncharacterized. Lineage: Eukaryota; Metazoa; Chordata; Mammalia; Perissodactyla; Equidae. The record is from RefSeq and is a predicted model, not a curated record.